This 492-nucleotide ribosomal RNA is filed under the name uncultured bacterium. RNAcentral describes it as "partial 16S ribosomal RNA". It matches the Rfam family "Bacterial small subunit ribosomal RNA", at positions 29 to 507 of the family's 1533-position model. The record is from RNAcentral.
AGUGAACGCUGGCGGUAGGCCUAACACAUGCAAGUCGAACGGCAGCACAGUAAGAGCUUGCUCUUACGGGUGGCGAGUGGCGGACGGGUGAGGAAUACAUCGGAAUCUACUUUUUCGUGGGGGAUAACGUAGGGAAACUUACGCUAAUACCGCAUACGACCUCCGGGUGAAAGCAGGGGAUCUUCUGACCUUGCGCGAUUGAAUGAGCCGAUGUCGGAUUAGCUAGUUGGCGGGGUAAAGGCCCACCAAGGCGACGAUCCGUAGCUGGUCUGAGAGGAUGAUCAGCCACACUGGAACUGAGACACGGUCCAGACUCCUACGGGAGGCAGCAGUGGGGAAUAUUGGACAAUGGGCGCAAGCCUGAUCCAGCCAUACCGCGUGGGUGAAGAAGGCCUUCGGGUUGUAAAGCCCUUUUGUUGGGAAAGAAAAGCAGCAGGUUAAUACCCCGCUGUUCUGACGGUACCCAAAGAAUAAGCACCGGCUAACUUCGUG